UUCGCCCUUAGAGCUUGAUCCUGGCUCAGAACGAACGCUGGCGGCAGGCUUAACACAUGCAAGUCGAACGCCCCGCAAGGGGAGUGGCAGACGGGUGAGUAACGCGUGGGAACAUACCCUUUCCUGCGGAAUAGCUCCGGGAAACUGUAAUUAAUACCGCAUACGCCCUACGGGGGAAAGAUUUAUCGGGGAAGGAUUGGCCCGCGUUGGAUUAGCUAGUUGGUGGGGUAAAGGCCUACCAAGGCGACGAUCCAUAGCUGGUCUGAGAGGAUGAUCAGCCACAUUGGGACUGAGACACGGCCCAAACUCCUACGGGAGGCAGCAGUGGGGAAUAUUGGACAAUGGGCGCAAGCCUGAUCCAGCCAUGCCGCGUGAGUGAUGAAGGCCUUAGGGUUGUAAAGCUCUUUCACCGAUGAAGAUAAUGACGGUAGUCGGAGAAGAAGCCCCGGCUAACUUCGUGCCAGCAGCCGCGGUAAUACGAAGGGGGCUAGCGUUGUUCGGAAUUACUGGGCGUAAAGCGCACGUAGGCGGAUAUUUAAGUCAGGGGUGAAAUCCCGCAGCUCAACUGCGGAACUGCCUUUGAUACUGGGUAUCUUGAGUAUGGAAGAGGUAAGUGGAAAUUCCGAGUGUAGAGGUGAAAUUCGUAGAUAUUCGGGAGGAACCCCGGUGCGAAAGCGGCUUUACUGGCCCAUUACUGACGCUGAGGUGCGAAAAGCGUGGGGAGCAAACAGAAUUAGAUACCCUGGUAGGCCA
This 753-nucleotide ribosomal RNA is filed under the name uncultured bacterium. RNAcentral's name for it is "bacterial SSU rRNA". It matches the Rfam family "Bacterial small subunit ribosomal RNA", at positions 1 to 797 of the family's 1533-position model. The record is from RNAcentral.